RNAcentral lists this ribosomal RNA (739 nucleotides) under Odoribacter sp. N54.MGS-14. Its description in RNAcentral is "bacterial SSU rRNA". It matches the Rfam family "Bacterial small subunit ribosomal RNA", at positions 767 to 1520 of the family's 1533-position model. Lineage: Bacteria; Pseudomonadati; Bacteroidota; Bacteroidia; Bacteroidales; Odoribacteraceae. The record is from RNAcentral.
AUCAAACAGGAUUAGAUACCCUGGUAGUCCACACGGUAAACGAUGAAUACUCGCUGUUUGCGAUAUACUGCAAGCGGCCAAGCGAAAGCGUUAAGUAUUCCACCUGGGGAGUACGCCGGCAACGGUGAAACUCAAAGGAAUUGACGGGGGCCCGCACAAGCGGAGGAACAUGUGGUUUAAUUCGAUGAUACGCGAGGAACCUUACCCGGGCUUAAAUUGCAGAUGAAUUACGGUGAAAGCCGUAAGCCGCAAGGCAUCUGUGAAGGUGCUGCAUGGUUGUCGUCAGCUCGUGCCGUGAGGUGUCGGCUUAAGUGCCAUAACGAGCGCAACCCUUGUUGUCAGUUACUAACAGGUUUUGCUGAGGACUCUGACAAGACUGCCAUCGUAAGAUGUGAGGAAGGUGGGGAUGACGUCAAAUCAGCACGGCCCUUACGUCCGGGGCUACACACGUGUUACAAUGGGGGGUACAGAGGGCCGCUACCACGCGAGUGGAUGCCAAUCCCCAAAACCUCUCUCAGUUCGGACUGGAGUCUGCAACCCGACUCCACGAAGCUGGAUUCGCUAGUAAUCGCGCAUCAGCCACGGCGCGGUGAAUACGUUCCCGGGCCUUGUACACACCGCCCGUCAAGCCAUGGGAGCCGGGGGUACCUGAAGUGCGUAACCGCGAGGAGCGCCCUAGGGUAAAACUGGUGACUGGGGCUAAGUCGUAACAAGGUAGCCGUACCGGAAGGUGCGGCUG